Molecule: small RNA, 695 nt
Filed under: Pan troglodytes (chimpanzee)
Lineage: Eukaryota; Metazoa; Chordata; Mammalia; Primates; Hominidae
Description: retained intron
Source: RNAcentral
GGCUUCGAAGCCCCAGGGGGAGGCAGGCCCUGCUCCAGGGGACUCAGCCAGCCCCUCGGGUCCGGCCCCCCUCUCCAGAUGGAUCCACAUCCCAAGAAGAAAGCCCUUCCCACUUCACCGCAGUCCCAGGCGAGCCACUGGGGGAUGAGACCCAGGGACAGCAGCCCCUCCAGUUGGAGGAGGAUCAGAGGGCGUGGCAGCGGCUGGAACAGCUCAUCCUGGGACAGGUGAGGUCCCUGGAGCCAGAAGGGAUUGCCGGCUGGGACGCCAGAAAAAUGAGGUCCACCCUGUCUCUCUUACUUCUCCCCAGCUGGAGGAGCUGAAGCAGCAGCUGGAACAGCAGGAGGAGGAGUUGGGUCGACUGCGCCUGGGCGUGGUGAGGCUGCAGGGGGACCUGGCAGGGCCGGGCAUGGAGGGGGUGCUUCAGGUGAGUGCCGAGGUUUCCUCUCCACCAGGGGGCGACGGACUCAGAGAAAAGGGUUCAGCAUCUGACUCUGGAGAACGAGGCCCUGAAGCAGAGCCUGAGUCUCAUGCGGGACCUCCUGCUGCACUGGGGCCCCGGGCCCCCCAUCAGGGCUCCGCAGGAGGAGGCGGAGGCAUUGCUAGAGCUCCAGGGCCGGCUUCAGGAGGCCCAGGACACCACAGAAGCCCUCCGAGCCCAGGUGGGCAUGGGGCCCAGGGAUCCAUGGCUCAGG